UGAUGCCUACGGGGGGCAGCAGUGAGGAAUAUUGGUCAAUGGGCGGGAGCCUGAACCAGCCAAGUCGCGUGAGGGAAGACGGUCCUAUGGAUUGUAAACCUCUUUAGGCGGGGAGCAAUGCCGGGCACGCGUGCCCGGAGGGAGAGUACCCGCAGAAUAAGCAUCGGCUAACUCCGUGCCAGCAGCCGCGGUAAUACGGAGGAUGCGAGCGUUAUCCGGAUUUAUUGGGCGUAAAGCGAGUGCAGGCGGUUCCAUAAGUCUGAU
Molecule: ribosomal RNA, 264 nt
Filed under: uncultured bacterium
Lineage: Bacteria
Description: partial 16S ribosomal RNA
Rfam family: Bacterial small subunit ribosomal RNA
Source: RNAcentral